This 541-nucleotide ribosomal RNA is filed under the name fungal sp. Its description in RNAcentral is "eukaryotic LSU rRNA". The stretch from base 187 to 340 matches the Rfam family "5.8S ribosomal RNA". The record is from RNAcentral. Lineage: Eukaryota; Fungi.
GACCUGCGGAGGGANCAUUACACAAAUAUGAAGGCGGGCUGGAACCUCUCGGGGUUACAGCCUUGCUGAAUUAUUCACCCUUGUCUUUUGCGUACUUCUUAGUUUCCUUGGUGGGUUCGCCCACCACUAGGACAAACAUAAACCUUUUGUAAUUGCAAUCAGCGUCAGUAACAAAUUAAUAAUUACAACUUUCAACAACGGAUCUCUUGGUUCUGGCAUCGAUGAAGAACGCAGCGAAAUGCGAUAAGUAGUGUGAAUUGCAGAAUUCAGUGAAUCAUCGAAUCUUUGAACGCACAUUGCGCCCUUUGGUAUUCCAAAGGGCAUGCCUGUUCGAGCGUCAUUUGUACCCUCAAGCUUUGCUUGGUGUUGGGCGUCUUGUCUCUAGCUUUGCUGGAGACUCGCCUUAAAGUAAUUGGCAGCCGGCCUACUGGUUUCGGAGCGCAGCACAAGUCGCACUCUCUAUCAGCAAAGGUCUAGCAUCCAUUAAGCCUUUUUUUCAACUUUUGACCUCGGAUCAGGUAGGGAUACCCGCUGAACUUAA